AUGAACUUAAUUUCUGUGCCAGACCAAAGGAGGUGAAAGCCCGAGCAACUGGAUAGGAUGAGGGCUGCAUAUCCUUCGGAUAAAAAAAUCACUGCCUUAAUUUCAGAUAUUGUCACAUGAGGUUUUUUUGGUUUAUUUGACUAGGCCACGUAGAGCAAUCAAGAGGAACAUGAACAUAAUCUAAGCAAGAGCUCAGUCUUUAGGACGCUCUCAUUGUGAAAUCUUUAAUUUCAGGUUACACUUCAUGCAGAGUAGUUGAAGAAAAGAGGACAAUGCCUUUUCGCUAAAAGCAUCCUGUUCGUAGCAGGCGGUAGAGAUGGCACAGGAACCACCCGAGUGCCUGGAAGAGGUUGCAGCAGCCGGCAUUUUGCAGAUCAAUUAGGCACCGAUGCGCGUGCUCCUUAAAAAACAACAACAACAACAACAACAACAACAAACUCAGAAAGGAUACUUCUGACAAGCACAACAUUUGGAGGAGUCUGGAGAGAAGAAGUUGGAAAAAUGAGAUACCCGGGAAGGCGUACUUCAGAGAAAUUUUGAAAGGGACAAAUAGUAGCUACAAAGAGAACCUGCACCCUGCAUACAUUCCAUUUGCUUUCUCAAAAGAAAUGGUGAAGGUCAACAUUUUGUCCAAAAAAAUUUUUUUAAUUUAAAAAUUCUUGCUUUGUAUAGUUACAGAAGUACUGGAUGCUCAUCAAACAAAGCUCAUAUAUUACAGAAGCAUGUGUGAAAUAUCUUGAACUCACAGCCUCAAUCCUGUUUUUAGUCCCAUAAUUACUAGCACU
This 785-nucleotide long non-coding RNA is filed under the name Capra hircus (goat). RNAcentral describes it as "lncRNA (ENSCHIG00000001347.1)". The record is from RNAcentral. Lineage: Eukaryota; Metazoa; Chordata; Mammalia; Artiodactyla; Bovidae.